UCCAGACUCCUACGGGAGGCAGCAGUGGGGGAUAUUGCACAAUGGGGGGAACCCUGAUGCAGCGACGCCGCGUGGGUGAAGGAGCGUUUCGGCGCGUAAAGCCCUCUCGGCAGGGAAGAAGGAGGACGGUACCUGACUAAGAAGCCCCGGCUAACUACGUGCCAGCAGCCGCGGUAAUACGUAGGGGGCAAGCGUUAUCCGGAUUUACUGGGUGUAAAGGGGGCGCAGACGGCAGCGCAAGCCAGGAGUGAAAGCCCGGGGCCCAACCCCGGGACUGCUCUUGGAACUGCGCGGCUGGAGUGCAGGAGGGGCAGGCGGAAUUCCUGGUGUAGCGGUGAAAUGCGUAGAUAUCAGGAGGAACACCGGUGGCGGAGGCGGCCUGCUGGACUGCGACUGACGUUGAGGCCCGAAAGCGUGGGGAGCAAACAGGAUUAGAUACCCCGGUAUGA
Molecule: ribosomal RNA, 449 nt
Filed under: uncultured bacterium
Lineage: Bacteria
Description: partial 16S ribosomal RNA
Rfam family: Bacterial small subunit ribosomal RNA
Source: RNAcentral